AAAUUGAAGAGUUUGAUCAUGGCUCAGAUUGAACGCUGGCGGCAGGCCUAACACAUGCAAGUCGAGCGGUAGCACAGAGAGCUUGCUCUCGGGUGACGAGCGGCGGACGGGUGAGUAAUGUCUGGGAAACUGCCUGAUGGAGGGGGAUAACUACUGGAAACGGUAGCUAAUACCGCAUAACGUCGCAAGACCAAAGUGGGGGACCUUCGGGCCUCAUGCCAUCAGAUGUGCCCAGAUGGGAUUAGCUAGUAGGUGGGGUAAUGGCUCACCUAGGCGACGAUCCCUAGCUGGUCUGAGAGGAUGACCAGCCACACUGGAACUGAGACACGGUCCAGACUCCUACGGGAGGCAGCAGUGGGGAAUAUUGCACAAUGGGCGCAAGCCUGAUGCAGCCAUGCCGCGUGUGUGAAGAAGGCCUUCGGGUUGUAAAGCACUUUCAGCGGGGAGGAAGGCG
RNAcentral lists this ribosomal RNA (454 nucleotides) under Klebsiella pneumoniae. Its description in RNAcentral is "bacterial SSU rRNA". It matches the Rfam family "Bacterial small subunit ribosomal RNA", at positions 1 to 453 of the family's 1533-position model. Lineage: Bacteria; Pseudomonadati; Pseudomonadota; Gammaproteobacteria; Enterobacterales; Enterobacteriaceae. RNAcentral also lists the same sequence under 4 other names. The record is from RNAcentral.